UCUACCAUCCUAUGCCCAAUUGCAUGUUGCUUAGGUACAUGGAAAUUUUAGUAUAGAUUGUAGUAUCAUGUGGUAGGCACACAACAACCCCGAUACUUGGCCUCGGGACAACAAAUUUCAUAUUGCUAUGCUUGAGUAGACGGGAUUUCGGUUGAGUGCAUAACACGAGUGAUGCGAGGUCGAUUAAAUAAUCAAGACCGGUUAAGACAAGAUUUUCAAGACCUCGGACGCAAUGCAACUCUGGGUGAAGGACGGUUGAUCGGCUCCCAGGAGAACCCAGUGGAUGCCCGGGAUGCUGGGGACGGCCAUGACAUCCUGCGGAAAGCUUCACCCAGGCUCAAAGAGACAGACGGAUAUUUUCAAGACUCAAGGCU
This 374-nucleotide long non-coding RNA is filed under the name Hordeum vulgare. Its description in RNAcentral is "long non-coding RNA (HVUL_LNC008980)". Lineage: Eukaryota; Viridiplantae; Streptophyta; Magnoliopsida; Poales; Poaceae. The record is from RNAcentral.